UACGGGGGGGGCAAGCGUUGUUCGGAAUUACUGGGCGUAAAGGGCCAGUAGGCGGCCAACUAAGUCCGACGUGAAAUCCCCAGGCUUAACCUGGGAACUGCGUCGGAUACUGGAUGGCUUGAAUUCGGGAGAGGGAUGCAGAAUUCCAGGUGUAGCGGUGAAAUGCGUAGAUAUCUGGAGGAACACCGGUGGCGAAGGCGACAUCCUGGACCGGUAUUGACGCUGAGGCGCGAAAGCCAGGGGAGCAAACGGG
RNAcentral lists this ribosomal RNA (253 nucleotides) under uncultured bacterium. RNAcentral describes it as "partial 16S ribosomal RNA". It matches the Rfam family "Bacterial small subunit ribosomal RNA", at positions 524 to 776 of the family's 1533-position model. The record is from RNAcentral.